UAGGGAAUCUUCGGCAAUGGACGGAAGUCUGACCGAGCAACGCCGCGUGAGUGAAGAAGGUUUUCGGAUCGUAAAGCUCUGUUGUAAGAGAAGAACGAGUGUGAGAGUGGAAAGUUCACACUGUGACGGUAUCUUACCAGAAAGGGACGGCUAACUACGUGCCAGCAGCCGCGGUAAUACGUAGGUCCCGAGCGUUGUCCGGAUUUAUUGGGCGUAAAGCGAGCGCAGGCGGUUAGAUAAGUCUGAAGUUAAAGGCUGUGGCUUAACCAUAGUAGGCUUUGGAAACUGUUUAGCUUGAGUGCAAGAGGGGAGAGUGGAAUUCCAUGUGUAGCGGUGAAAUGCGUAGAUAUAUGGAGGAACACCGGUGGCGAAAGCGGCUCUCUGGCUUGCAACUGACGCUGAGGCUCGAAAGCGUGGGGAGCAAACAGGAUUAGAUACCCUGGUAGUCCACGCUGUAAACGAUGAGUGCUAGGUGUUAGACCCUUUCCGGGGUUUAGUGCCGUAGCUAACGCAUUAAGCACUCCGCCUGGGGAGUACGACCGCAAGGUUG
RNAcentral lists this ribosomal RNA (550 nucleotides) under uncultured bacterium. RNAcentral describes it as "bacterial SSU rRNA". It matches the Rfam family "Bacterial small subunit ribosomal RNA", at positions 355 to 896 of the family's 1533-position model. The record is from RNAcentral.